UACGAAGGGGCUAGCGUUGCUCGGAAUCACUGGGCGUAAAGGGCGCGUAGGCGGCCGAUUAAGUCGGGGGUGAAAGCCUGUGGCUCAACCACAGAAUUGCCUUCGAUACUGGUUGGCUUGAGUAUGGUAGAGGUUGGUGGAACUGCGAGUGUAGAGGUGAAAUUCGUAGAUAUUCGCAAGAACACCGGUGGCGAAGGCGGCCAACUGGACCAUUACUGACGCUGAGGCGCGAAAGCGUGGGGAGCAAACAGG
This 252-nucleotide ribosomal RNA is filed under the name uncultured bacterium. RNAcentral's name for it is "partial 16S ribosomal RNA". It matches the Rfam family "Bacterial small subunit ribosomal RNA", at positions 524 to 776 of the family's 1533-position model. The record is from RNAcentral.